CGGUGUGAGUAAUGUCUGGGAAACUGCCUGAUGGAGGGGGAUAACUACUGGAAACGGUAGCUAAUACCGCAUAACGUCGCAAGACCAAAGAGGGGGACCUUCGGGCCUCUUGCCAUCGGAUGUGCCCAGAUGGGAUUAGCUAGUAGGUGGGGUAACGGCUCACCUAGGCGACGAUCCCUAGCUGGUCUGAGAGGAUGACCAGCCACACUGGAACUGAGACACGGUCCAGACUCCUACGGGAGGCAGCAGUGGGGAAUAUUGCACAAUGGGCGCAAGCCUGAUGCAGCCAUGCCGCGUGUAUGAAGAAGGCCUUCGGGUUGUAAAGUACUUUCAGCGGGGAGGAAGGCGAUAAGGUUAAUAACCUUGUCGAUUGACGUUACCCGCAGAAGAAGCACCGGCUAACUCCGUGCCAGCAGCCGCGGUAAUACGGAGGGUGCAAGCGUUAAUCGGAAUUACUGGGCGUAAAGCGCACGCAGGCGGUCUGUCAAGUCGGAUGUGAAAUCCCCGGGCUCAACCUGGGAACUGCAUUCGAAACUGGCAGGCUAGAGUCUUGUAGAGGGGGGUAGAAUUCCAGGUG
RNAcentral lists this ribosomal RNA (577 nucleotides) under Enterobacter asburiae. RNAcentral's name for it is "bacterial SSU rRNA". It matches the Rfam family "Bacterial small subunit ribosomal RNA", at positions 100 to 675 of the family's 1533-position model. Lineage: Bacteria; Pseudomonadati; Pseudomonadota; Gammaproteobacteria; Enterobacterales; Enterobacteriaceae. The record is from RNAcentral.